GAUGAACGCUGGCGGCGUGCCUAAUACAUGCAAGUCGAGCGAACGGACGAGAAGCUUGCUUCUCUGAUGUUAGCGGCGGACGGGUGAGUAACACGUGGAUAACCUACCUAUAAGACUGGGAUAACCUCGGGAAACCGGAGCUAAUACCGGAUGAUAUUUUGAACCGCAUGGUUCAAAAGUGAAAGACGGUCUUGCUGUCACUUAUAGAUGGAUCCGCGCUGCAUUAGCUAGUUGGUAAGGUAACGGCUUACCAAGGCAACGAUGCAUAGCCGACCUGAGAGGGGGAUGGGCCACACGGGAACGGAGACACGGUCCAGACCCCUACGGGAGGCAGCAGGAGGAAUCCUUCCGAAAUGGGCGAAAGCCGGACGGAGCAACGCGGCGGGAGGGAGGAAGGUCUUCGGAUCGUAAAACUUUGUUAUGAGGGAAAAACAUAUGUGUAAGUAACUUUGCACAUCUGGACGGUACCUAAUAAGAAAGCCACGGCUAACUACGUG
Molecule: ribosomal RNA, 497 nt
Filed under: uncultured bacterium
Lineage: Bacteria
Description: partial 16S ribosomal RNA
Rfam family: Bacterial small subunit ribosomal RNA
Source: RNAcentral